GGUGGGAUGGCUGAGUGGACGAAAGCGGCGGUCUUGAAAACCGUUAUGGCGCAAGCCAUCGUGGGUUCGAAUCCUACUCCCACCGCCA
RNAcentral lists this transfer RNA (88 nucleotides) under Candidatus Poribacteria bacterium. RNAcentral describes it as "tRNA-Ser". It matches the Rfam family "tRNA". From Rfam's summary of the family: Transfer RNA (tRNA) molecules are approximately 80 nucleotides in length. Their secondary structure includes four short double-helical elements and three loops (D, anti-codon, and T loops). The record is from RNAcentral. Lineage: Bacteria; Candidatus Poribacteria.